RNAcentral lists this ribosomal RNA (450 nucleotides) under uncultured bacterium. Its description in RNAcentral is "partial 16S ribosomal RNA". It matches the Rfam family "Bacterial small subunit ribosomal RNA", at positions 338 to 795 of the family's 1533-position model. The record is from RNAcentral.
CCUACGGGUGGCUGCAGUAAGGAAUAUUGGACAAUGGCGGAGACGCUGAUCCAGCUAUCCCGCGUGCAGGAUGAAGGACCUAUGGUUUGUAAACUGCUUUAGACUGGGGCGAAAAAGUGGGAUUUAUCCUACAUUGACGGUACCAGUAAAAUAAGCACCGGCUAACUCCGUUCCAGCCGCCGCGGUAAUACGGAGGGUGCAAGCGUUAUCCGGAAUCACGGGGUAUUAGGCGUGUGGAGAAGUCAGGAUUGAAAGGCCACGGCUUAACCGUGGGAUUGCUUUCGAUACUGGCGAGCUUGGAUUAGGACGAGGUUGGCGGAAUGUGGCAAGUAGCGGUGAAAUGCAUAGAUAUGCCAUAGAAUACCGAUUGCGAAGGCAGCUGACUAGACCUAUAUUGACGCUGAGGCACGAAAGCGUGGGGAGCGAACAGGAUUAGAUACCCGGGUAGUC